AACGCGAAGAACCUUACCUGGGCUCGAACGGCUUAAGACCAUCUUUGGAAACAGAGACUUCCCGCAAGGGACUUGAGUCGAGGUGCUGCAUGGCUGUCGUCAGCUCGUGUCGUGAGAUGUUGGGUUAAGUCCCGCAACGAGCGCAACCCUUGUCCUGUGUUGCCACUCCGUAAGGAAGCACUCGCAGGAGACCGCCAGGGAUAACCUGGAGGAAGGUGGGGAUGAUGUCAAGUCAUCAUGGCCUUUAUGUCCAGGGCUACACACGUGCUACAAUGGACGGUACAAAGCGCUGCAAACCCGCGAGGGGGAGCUAAUCGCAAAAAGCCGUUCUCAGUUCGGAUCGCAGGCUGCAACUCGCCUGCGUGAAGCUGGAAUCGCUAGUAAUGGCGUAUCAGAACGAUGCCGUGAAUACGUUCCCGGGCCUUGUA
Molecule: ribosomal RNA, 428 nt
Filed under: uncultured Acidobacterium sp.
Lineage: Bacteria; Pseudomonadati; Acidobacteriota; Terriglobia; Terriglobales; Acidobacteriaceae
Description: bacterial SSU rRNA
Rfam family: Bacterial small subunit ribosomal RNA
Source: RNAcentral